UACAGAGGUCUCAAGCGUUGUUCGGAUUCAUUGGGCGUAAAGGGUGCGUAGGUGGCGUGGUAAGUCGGGUGUGAAAUUUCGGAGCUUAACUCCGAAACUGCAUUCGAUACUGCCGUGCUUGAGGACUGGAGAGGAGACUGGAAUUUACGGUGUAGCGGUGAAAUGCGUAGAUAUCAUAAGGAAGACCAGUGGCGAAGGCGGGUCUCUGGACAGUUCCUGACGCUGAGGCACGAAGGCCAGGGGAGCAAACAGG
Molecule: ribosomal RNA, 253 nt
Filed under: uncultured bacterium
Lineage: Bacteria
Description: partial 16S ribosomal RNA
Rfam family: Bacterial small subunit ribosomal RNA
Source: RNAcentral